CCGGAAGGUGCGGCUGGAUCACCUCCUUUCUAAGGAGCAACUUUCCGCGAAAGCGGACAGUAGCCCGCGGUCGUCAAACGUUCGACCGGGGUGCUCACAGGCGGAGACACUGGCCAGUUUGAGCCGGCAACGGCCGAAUCACCUAGUACACAGGCUUUCGGGUCUGGAGGAACGGUCUCGGUGCGGCUGGUGAGAGCGAAAAACAAGCAUCCUGUUGGGUAUCUGAAGGAACAACCGCCCCGGCUGAGGCCGGCGGACCGAGCGAGAGUUCGGGGUUGUUUUUCAAUGCCAGGCAUGGCCUGGACCUUAAUAUCGGCCACAUGUGUGGUGUUGAUUUUGGUCUGAGCGGGUUGUGGGUUGGUCGUUGGUUGAGAAUUGCACAGUGGACGCGAGCAUCUUGUUUUUUGUGGUUAAGUUGUCAAGGGCGAAC
This 430-nucleotide unclassified non-coding RNA is filed under the name uncultured bacterium. RNAcentral describes it as "partial contains ITS1, 5.8S rRNA, and ITS2". The record is from RNAcentral.